GGCAAGAUGACUGAAAUAGUAGAGGAUUGUAAAUUCUUUUAUGUAAGUGAAAGCCUUACUCUUCGCCA
This 68-nucleotide transfer RNA is filed under the name Stichopus horrens (warty sea cucumber). RNAcentral describes it as "tRNA-Tyr". The stretch from base 4 to 63 matches the Rfam family "tRNA". Rfam says of the family: Transfer RNA (tRNA) molecules are approximately 80 nucleotides in length. Their secondary structure includes four short double-helical elements and three loops (D, anti-codon, and T loops). Further hydrogen bonds mediate the characteristic L-shaped molecular structure. tRNAs have two regions of fundamental functional importance: the anti-codon, which is responsible for specific mRNA codon recognition, and the 3' end, to which the tRNAs corresponding amino acid is attached (by aminoacyl-tRNA synthetases). tRNAs cope with the degeneracy of the genetic code in two manners: having more than one tRNA (with a specific anti-codon) for a particular amino acid; and 'wobble' base-pairing, i.e. permitting non-standard base-pairing at the 3rd anti-codon position. The record is from RNAcentral. Lineage: Eukaryota; Metazoa; Echinodermata; Holothuroidea; Aspidochirotida; Stichopodidae.